Molecule: transfer RNA, 76 nt
Filed under: Miniphocaeibacter halophilus
Lineage: Bacteria; Bacillati; Bacillota; Tissierellia; Tissierellales; Peptoniphilaceae
Also listed under: 1 other name
Description: tRNA-Val
Rfam family: tRNA
About the family: Transfer RNA (tRNA) molecules are approximately 80 nucleotides in length. Their secondary structure includes four short double-helical elements and three loops (D, anti-codon, and T loops).
Source: RNAcentral
GGGCGGUUAGCUCAGCUGGGAGAGCAUCUGCCUUACAAGCAGGGGGUCACAGGUUCGAGCCCUGUACCGCCCACCA